Myxocyprinus asiaticus (Chinese sucker) is the source of this 1829-nucleotide long non-coding RNA. RefSeq lists it as uncharacterized. The transcript has 2 exons. Lineage: Eukaryota; Metazoa; Chordata; Actinopteri; Cypriniformes; Catostomidae. The record is from RefSeq and is a predicted model, not a curated record.
UUGUUUCCAGCGGGGAAAAGUUCAAGUAUCGCCUCCUUGUGGAGGAUUCGCCAUAUUAGUUUUAGUGAUAUCCAAUGUAGUGGAGAAGGACGACUGCAUUAAUAUCAGUGUUGAAAUGAUCCGCCCCUCUGGCUCGUCAUCAUCGCCCCGCCUCUUAGGGUCGCCCUUCAGCCAGGCUCACGACGGGAGUUGGGAGAGUGAGAAGAGGUGCAUAAUUAAUAAGCCUCGUUUGGUCAGCGGUGACCGAAGCACACCUGAUGGGGAUAAUGCUUCAUCACCGCUGUCUUUAAAAUGCAGUGCGCACCUCUUCUCGGGGAGCCAGCUUCAAAUCUCCAUGUGUGCACAUACUGGUAUCCUCGCACGCCCAGGACCAGAGCUGGGAGAGAUCGGAUGAGUGGAUGUGCUGCCGGACCUGUUCUUCGGACCCCCGGACGCCGUAAUGAGUCGCUGGGAGUGAACUGCUCACGUUGCCGCCGACGGGCUAGAUGCCGGGCCGCCUUCCCCUCACGCUUGCCGUGGCCUGGGAAGACAAGCCGCCAGUGACCCGCCGCCCCACGCGCCAUGGACUUUGGAGGGGCUGGGCUUUCCUAUGAACACUACUCCGCCCCUUUCACGGAGCCCCGUUCACCACGAGAACGCCAGAUUCCCCCUUUAUUAUGAACACUAUUCCCCCUUGGACACUUUAUUACCCCUUUUGGACAUUUUACAUUUAUUAUUGUUUCCAAUAAAUGCCUCUCCAAGGCUUGACACCACACCCACUGUGUCUGUCUCUUGCUCAACCUGCCACAGUGGUGGAGAAUGCAGGCAUUUUUGUGGGCAAAUACGGCACAGCUGGGCACCAACAGUUACGUCACUCUUCCUCUCAUUCGCCAGUUCGAUGGAAAGCCUGGAGUGGGAUGGAGAAAACACGAGGACGGCCUCCCAGCUGCAGCAAAGGGUAAGUGGCACUUAAUAAGCAUUUACCCUGUGGCUGGCUGAGGCUGUCAUAUUAAUUUGUGUUUUUUCUCUGUUCCCACCUGGGUGCGAGUGAGAGGAGGAGUUGGCCCGGAGAGGUAUGUCCACUCCGACCGUAGGGCCUGGUUGAGGAAGUAGCACUCCUGUGUGGGCGACUAAAGAGUGUGCACUCUGGAUUCCAUGAUUGGAUGUGAGCGUGGGAGGUGCCGAUGGGGUGACGCUUGGUGGGGGGUGGGGGGGGAGAUGUGGCGGAAUGAUCUGCCCCUCUGGCUCGUCAUCGUUGCCCCGCCUCUUAGGGCCACCCUUCAGCCAGGCUCACGACUGGAGUUGGGUGGGAGAGCGAGAAGAGGUGCAUAAUUAAUAAGCCUCGUUUGGUCAGCGGUGAAUGAAGCACACCUGAUGGGGAUAAUGCUUCAUCACCGCUGUCUUUAAAACGCAGUUCGCACCUCUUCUUGGGGAGCCGGCUUCAAAUCUCCAUAUGUGCACACACUGGCAUCCUUGCACGCCCAGGACCAGAGCUGGGAGGGAUCGGAUGAGUAACCCUGCCACUCGUAAUGAGUCGCCGGGAGUGAACUGCUUACGUUGCCGCCGACGGGCUAGAUGCCGGGCCGCCUUCCCCUUACACUUGCCGCGGGCCUGGGAAGACGCGCCGUGGACUUUGGAGGGGAGCGUGAGCGGCCGACUGACCCAGCCCGUGCCUGGGCUUUCCUAUGAACACUACCCCGCCCCUUUCACGGAGCCCCGUUUACCGCGAGGAUGCCAGAUAACCCCCCUUUAUUAUGAACGCUAUUCCCCCUUGGACACUUUAUUCCCCCUUUUGGACAUUUUACGUUUAUCAUUGUUUCCAAUAAAUGCCUCUCCGAGGCUUGACACCA